This 328-nucleotide ribosomal RNA is filed under the name Salmonella enterica subsp. enterica serovar 1,4,[5],12:i:-. Its description in RNAcentral is "partial 23S ribosomal RNA". It matches the Rfam family "Bacterial large subunit ribosomal RNA", at positions 632 to 961 of the family's 2925-position model. The record is from RNAcentral. Lineage: Bacteria; Pseudomonadati; Pseudomonadota; Gammaproteobacteria; Enterobacterales; Enterobacteriaceae.
AUUCUGUAGCAAGGUUAACCGUAUAGGGGAGCCGUAGGGAAACCGAGUCUUAACCGGGCGUUAAGUUGCAGGGUAUAGACCCGAAACCCGGUGAUCUAGCCAUGGGCAGGUUGAAGGUUGGGUAACACUAACUGGAGGACCGAACCGACUAAUGUUGAAAAAUUAGCGGAUGACCUGUGGCUGGGGGUGAAAGGCCAAUCAAACCGGGAGAUAGCUGGUUCUCCCCGAAAGCUAUUUAGGUAGCGCCUCGUGAAUUCAUCUCCGGGGGUAGAGCACUGUUUCGGCUAGGGGGCCAUCCCGGCUUACCAACCCGAUGCAAACUGCGAAU